This 497-nucleotide ribosomal RNA is filed under the name uncultured bacterium. RNAcentral's name for it is "partial 16S ribosomal RNA". It matches the Rfam family "Bacterial small subunit ribosomal RNA", at positions 28 to 507 of the family's 1533-position model. The record is from RNAcentral.
GAUGAACGCUGGCGGCGUGCCUAAUACAUGCAAGUCGAGCGAACAGAUGAGGAGCUUGCUCCUCUGACGUUAGCGGCGGACGUGUGAGUAACACGUGGAUAACCUACCUAUAAGACUGGGAUAACUUCGGGAAACCGGAGCUAAUACCGGAUAAUAUAUUGAACCGCAUGGUUCAAUAGUGAAAGACGGUUUUGCUGUCACUUAUAGAUGGAUCCGCGCCGCAUUAGCUAGUUGGUAAGGUAACGGCUUACCAAGGCAACGAUGCGUAGCCGACCUGAGAGGGUGAUCGGCCACACUGGAACUGAGACACGGUCCAGACUCCUACGGGAGGCAGCAGUAGGGAAUCUGCCGCAAUGGGCGAAAGCCUGACGGAGCAACGCCGCGUGAGUGAUGAAGGUCUUCGGAUCGUAAAACUCUGUUAUUAGGGAAGAACAAUUGUGUAAGUAACUAUGCACGUCUUGACGGUACCUAAUCAGAAAGCCACGGCUAACUACGUG